CAACCUGAGAGUUUGAUCCUGGCUCAGAGCGAACGCUGGCGGCAGGCCUAACACAUGCAAGUCGAACGGAUCCUUCGGGAUUAGUGGCGGACGGGUGAGUAACACGUGGGAACGUGCCUUUUGGUU
RNAcentral lists this ribosomal RNA (126 nucleotides) under Brevundimonas sp. Its description in RNAcentral is "partial 16S ribosomal RNA". It matches the Rfam family "Bacterial small subunit ribosomal RNA", at positions 1 to 138 of the family's 1533-position model. Lineage: Bacteria; Pseudomonadati; Pseudomonadota; Alphaproteobacteria; Caulobacterales; Caulobacteraceae. The record is from RNAcentral.